CAUUCCCUUGCAGCACAACAUUAUUAGCUCCUACCAUGUUCCUCUCCUGAAAACUUGCCUCGUCUCUGCGCCGGCUCCUACAACUCUGCUUCUCACUUCACCAUCUGUGUGUUCAUCCAUUCUUAUGCUCAUUGGUUGUUUCUACCUCUGAUCCGGAAUACUUUCAAUUGCUCGUCCAUCGAUUAUUCAGAUUUUUCAUCCGUCACUGUGUCAAGAAACAAUUCCAGUGCUAUCUUCAUUUAUUCAGACCAAAAAAUAAACCCCGCAACCUAAUGGAAGUGGCGUUAGCUAGCACUGCGUUAAGCGUUAGCUUAAAAUUGGCCGCAUCACCGGUCUUGAAGAAGCUUCUUACUGAUGCUUCAUUGUAUCUUGGAGUGGACAUGGCGCGUGAGCUCCAUGAACUGGAGACCACUAUUUUGCCACAGUUCGAGCUCGUGAUUGAAGCAGCAGACAAGGAAAACCAUAGACCCAAGUUGGACAAAUGGCUCCAGGAACUCAAAGAAGCAUUCUAUCUGGCCGAAGACUUGCUGGAUGACCAUGAGUACAACCUCCUCAAGCUCAGAGCAAAGGGGAAAGAUUCCUAGCUGGCCAAUGCCUCCUCAAUCAGCAACACUUUGAUGAAGCCUCUGCGUGCUGCAUCAAGCAGGCUCUCCAAUCUGAGCUCUGAGAACAGAAAGCUACUUCACCACCUGAAUGAACUAAAGGCUACCCUGGCGAAAGCCAAGGACUUCCGUCAACUUCUCUGCUUACCAGUUGGUUAUAGUGCAGAGAGCUCCAGCAUAUCAUCAACUAUUGUUCCUGAGACUACAUCACUGCCACCUUUGAAGGUGAUUGGUCGUGGCGAGGACCGCGAUCAUAUAAUAGAGUGUCUUACCAGGACAACUGUUGUUGAGUCUAGCACAGCUAUGUACUCAGGUUUGGCGAUUGUUGGAGUUGGUGGCAUGGGAAAAUCCACCUUGGCACAACUUGUUUACAAUGAUAAGAGGGUAAAAGAAUAUUUUGAUGUGACAAUCUGGAUAAGUAUCUCACGCAAACUUGAUGUCCGCCGUCAUACACGGGAGAUCAUCGAGUCUGCCUCACAAGGGGAAUGCCCACGCAUUGAGAACCUUGAUACUCUGCAACGCAUGUUGAGAGACAUUAUGCAAAAAUCUGGGAAAUUCCUCCUUGUGUUGGAUGAUGUUUGGUUUGAACCUGACAGAGAGAGGGAAUGGG
Long non-coding RNA from Triticum dicoccoides, 1212 nucleotides. RefSeq lists it as uncharacterized. The transcript is spliced from 3 exons. The record is from RefSeq and is a predicted model, not a curated record. Lineage: Eukaryota; Viridiplantae; Streptophyta; Magnoliopsida; Poales; Poaceae.